AGAGUUUGAUCCUGGCUCAGAUUGAACGCUGGCGGCAUGCCUUACACAUGCAAGUCGAACGGUAACAGGUUAAGCUGACGAGUGGCGAACGGGUGAGUAAUAUAUCGGAACGUGCCCAGUCGUGGGGGAUAACUGCUCGAAAGAGCAGCUAAUACCGCAUACGACCUGAGGGUGAAAGCGGGGGAUCGCAAGACCUCGCG
RNAcentral lists this ribosomal RNA (200 nucleotides) under uncultured bacterium. Its description in RNAcentral is "partial 16S ribosomal RNA". It matches the Rfam family "Bacterial small subunit ribosomal RNA", at positions 8 to 217 of the family's 1533-position model. The record is from RNAcentral.